This is a long non-coding RNA of Xenopus tropicalis (tropical clawed frog), 245 nucleotides long. RefSeq lists it as uncharacterized. The transcript is spliced from 3 exons. Lineage: Eukaryota; Metazoa; Chordata; Amphibia; Anura; Pipidae. The record is from RefSeq and is a predicted model, not a curated record.
CAUAGCACUCUAGACUCACUCACUGGGACUGCAGGGACCUCAUCUGCUAAAUCGUGGGGACCCCCCGGCCGGGUACUCGGGGAGCAGCCACAUCCUCUGGGCAUUACUGGGAGAGUCGGUACCGGGGUUCCAGGUGACAGUGGGGGAGCCAAGGAUGACAGAGAUCCCGGGGGAGCGGCUGGAGGAAUUUCUUGUAUCUGAUGACCUUUUCCUGGAAUAUUUCAACACCUUUGUGGCCCUUCCUG